UUUUGGACAAUGGGGGCAACCCUGAUCCAGCAAUGCCGCGUGAGUGAAGAAGGCCUUCGGGUUGUAAAGCUCUUUUGUCAGGGAAGAAACACCGGCUCUAACACAGUCCGGGAAUGACGGUACCUGAAGAAUAAGCACCGGCUAACUACGUGCCAGCAGCCGCGGUAAUACGUAGGGUGCAAGCGUUAAUCGGAAUUACUGGGCGUAAAGCGUGCGCAGGCGGUUAUACAAGACAGGCGUGAAAUCCCCGGGCUUAACCUGGGAAUGGCGCCUGUGACUGUAUAGCUAGAGUGUGUCAGAGGGGGGUAGAAUUCCACGUGUAGCAGCGAAAUGCGUAGAUAUGUGGAGGAAUACCAAUGGCGAAGGCAGCCCCCUGGGAUAACACUGACGCUCAUGCACGAA
Molecule: ribosomal RNA, 402 nt
Filed under: uncultured bacterium
Lineage: Bacteria
Description: bacterial SSU rRNA
Rfam family: Bacterial small subunit ribosomal RNA
Source: RNAcentral